AGUGAACGCUGGCGGUAGGCCUAACACAUGCAAGUCGAACGGCAGCACAGUAAGAGCUUGCUCUUACGGGUGGCGAGUGGCGGACGGGUGAGGAAUACAUCGGAAUCUACUUUUUCGUGGGGGAUAACGUAGGGAAACUUACGCUAAUACCGCAUACGACCUACGGGUGAAAGCAGGGGAUCUUCGGACCUUGCGCGAUUGAAUGAGCCGAUGUCGGAUUAGCUAGUUGGCGGGGUAAAGGCCCACCAAGGCGACGAUCCGUGGCUGGUCUGAGAGGGUGAUCAGCCACACUGGAACUGAGACACGGUCCAGACUCCUACGGGAGGCAGCAGUGGGGAAUAUUGGACAAUGGGCGCAAGCCUGAUCCAGCCAUACCGCGUGGGUGAAGAAGGCCUUCGGGUUGUAAAGCCCUUUUGUUGGGAAAGAAAAGCAGCAGGUUAAUACCCCGCUGUUCUGACGGUACCCAAAGAAUAAGCACCGGCUAACUUCGUG
Molecule: ribosomal RNA, 492 nt
Filed under: uncultured bacterium
Lineage: Bacteria
Description: partial 16S ribosomal RNA
Rfam family: Bacterial small subunit ribosomal RNA
Source: RNAcentral